RNAcentral lists this ribosomal RNA (492 nucleotides) under uncultured bacterium. RNAcentral's name for it is "partial 16S ribosomal RNA". It matches the Rfam family "Bacterial small subunit ribosomal RNA", at positions 29 to 507 of the family's 1533-position model. The record is from RNAcentral.
AGUGAACGCUGGCGGUAGGCCUAACACAUGCAAGUCGAACGGCAGCACAGUAAGAGCUUGCUCUUACGGGUGGCGAGUGGCGGACGGGUGAGGAAUACAUCGGAAUCUACUUUUUCGUGGGGGAUAACGUAGGGAAACUUACGCUAAUACCGCAUACGACCUACGGGUGAAAGCAGGGGAUCUUCGGACCUUGCGCGAUUGAAUGGGCCGAUGUCGGAUUAGCUAGUUGGCGGGGUAAAGGCCCACCAAGGCGACGAUCCGUAGCUGGUCUGAGAGGAUGAUCAGCCACACUGGAACUGAGACACGGUCCAGACUCCUACGGGAGGCAGCAGUGGGGAAUAUUGGACAAUGGGCGCAAGCCUGAUCCAGCCAUACCGCGUGGGUGAAGAAGGCCUUCGGGUUGUGAAGCCCUUUUGUUGGGAAAGAAAAGCAGCAGGUUAAUACCCCGCUGUUCUGACGGUACCCAAAGAAUAAGCACCGGCUAACUUCGUG